This 83-nucleotide transfer RNA is filed under the name Modicisalibacter luteus. RNAcentral describes it as "Halomonas lutea tRNA-Arg". Lineage: Bacteria; Pseudomonadati; Pseudomonadota; Gammaproteobacteria; Oceanospirillales; Halomonadaceae. The record is from RNAcentral.
CUGAGCUUGGUGGGGCGCGCCUGCGUCUUCGAGGCGUCGUCAGACUGAGGUAAGGCUGCGGUGUUCGAGCAGGCGUGGUCAGG